This is a long non-coding RNA of Homo sapiens (human), 298 nucleotides long. RefSeq lists it as uncharacterized. The transcript has 3 exons. NCBI's taxonomy places the organism in Eukaryota, Metazoa, Chordata, Mammalia, Primates, Hominidae. The record is from RefSeq and is a predicted model, not a curated record.
UGCAUCCAUCAGGACUUCAGGAGAGAGGACCAAUUAUUGGAUAGUGGCCAAAGUGACAAUUUUAAUCUCUGAGCCACAGAAGGUGUACCACUGAAUUUGCUAGUGCUAAAAUGCACAAAAGAGGCAUCCCCACAAUGACCGCAGACUACAGUGUGACGGGUAUGACUGUCAGAAGACCAGCAAGACAAGCAGCAAACUGAGAAACCCGAGGAACUAAUCAAACUAAUUUGGAAGAUAACAUGGCAGAAGACCCCGAGAAAGCACUGCAAAAUCACUAAGAAAUAAAAGUUCAGGCCAG